GAGCAGAGGGGAUGUGAAGGAGACCUGAGAAUAAGGGACAGAAGGAGGAUGCCACUAACCAAGGGAGGAGGGAUACGUGGGUUGGUGUUAUUGUUUGCGUCAACUCGCACGUUAAUUCAGAAAUGUUCAGAGGUGAAAUGAUCAGACUAUGAGAGCUGUAACCUAAUCACUGGUUUAAUCCACUCGAUGGCUUAACAGUUGAGAGGACUACUGUACUAGAUGGUGACUGUGAGCAGGUAGGGUGUGGCUGGAGGAAGUAGGUCACUGGGGGUGUACCCUUGGGGUUAUAUUUUGUCUCUAGCUCAUUACUCUCUCCCUUCUUCCUGGACGAUCCGAGCAGCAUUCUUCAUCACGCCCUUCCUCCAUGAUGUUCUGCCUCAUCUUGGGCCCAGAGCAAUUGGAAUUGGCCAGUCACAAACUAAAUCUCUGAAACUGUGAGCCCCAAGGAAGCGUUCCUUCCUCUAAGUUGUACUUGUCAGGUAUUUUGGUCACAGUGAUGAGAAGCUAACACAGCUGGGGAUGCUUUUGGCUGCAAGUAACAGCAAACCUGUCCAGUGGGGAUUUAGAUAAGAGGGACUCUUUUUCUCGAAGUUUGGAUGCCAGCAGCAGUGUCCAUGUCGAUCGAUGUCUCUGGGGUCCCCUCCACCUUCCCUCAGCUUUGGGCAUUAUGUUCUCCUGUGGCUGAGUCCACAGCAGCAAAUAGCAAGCAGCACAGAACACACAAUCUGCUCAUGUCCUUCUUACUGGUGGGCGCAGGUGGCGGUAGAAGACCCCAGCUAAUCUUCUCUAGAUCCCACAAUUCUGGGACCAGGGGCUGUGCCCAUCUUGCUGAUAUCAAAGAACCUCUUUCCUCGACAAAAAAAGAUUUAGCCAUCCAAGAAGGGGAAUGGUGUGGAGAAGCAGUGUUGGCCGUAGGCACACCCAUAAGGAGAGACUUUCUGCUGGGUUAAUUGAUGUGGGGUGGGGGGGCAGGUGGGAUGAAUGCUGAGAAGGAGCCUCCGGACUUGAUGCUCAGUGGACUCCACCUGAGGCUCUUGAGAGGGUGGUUCCCAGGGGUUGCUGACCUUCACUGCAGACUGCAGGCUCUUCAGAAUCAUGGGGAGCCAUUCAGGAGGCGAAGACUGUUUGCUGUUAAAGGUGAGAGUGGAGUGGGGACAGUCACUGGACUCAGGAGGUAGACUCAGGAAAGCUUUUCAGUUUGGGGCUGACUUGAAGAUGAGUAUAGGCUGAGAAAGGGGCCAGCAGGGGAGAGGGUGAAGAUUUGAAGCAAGACAGGCUAGUUGAUCCUGCAUCCCCUGAAAGAGAUCAAAUUGCCAAGGUGAUGGCUGACACUGUGACCAAUGGGAAGACUUUUCUGAGAAGAUUCAGAUGCCUUCUCAGACAGGAGGGCAGGAGGGCAGGAUGGUGAGCCCAGCCAGGAUGGAGAUUGCUCUCAGCUUGUGAAAUGGGU
RNAcentral lists this long non-coding RNA (1450 nucleotides) under Marmota monax (woodchuck). Lineage: Eukaryota; Metazoa; Chordata; Mammalia; Rodentia; Sciuridae. The record is from RNAcentral.